RNAcentral lists this ribosomal RNA (253 nucleotides) under uncultured bacterium. RNAcentral's name for it is "partial 16S ribosomal RNA". It matches the Rfam family "Bacterial small subunit ribosomal RNA", at positions 524 to 776 of the family's 1533-position model. The record is from RNAcentral.
UACGUAGGGUGCGAGCGUUGUCCGGAAUUAUUGGGCGUAAAGGGCUCGUAGGCGGUCUGUUGCGUCGGGAGUGAAAACUCAGGGCUUAACCCUGAGCCUGCUUCCGAUACGGGCAGACUAGAGGUAUGCAGGGGAGAACGGAAUUCCUGGUGUAGCGGUGAAAUGCGUAGAUAUCUGGAGGAACACCGGUGGCGAAGGCGGCAUCCUGGACCGACACUGACACUGAGGAGCGAAAGCCAGGGGAGCAAACGGG